This 253-nucleotide ribosomal RNA is filed under the name uncultured bacterium. RNAcentral describes it as "partial 16S ribosomal RNA". It matches the Rfam family "Bacterial small subunit ribosomal RNA", at positions 524 to 776 of the family's 1533-position model. The record is from RNAcentral.
UACGUAGGGUCCGAGCGUUGUCCGGAAUUAUUGGGCGUAAAGGGCUCGUAGGCGGUUCGUCACGUCGGGAGUGAAAACUCGGAGCUUAACCCCGAGCCUGCUUCCGAUACGGGCAGACUAGAGGUAGGCAGGGGAGAGCGGAACUCCUGGUGUAGCGGUGGAAUGCGCAGAUAUCAGGAAGAACACCGGUGGCGAAGGCGGCUCUCUGGGCCUUACCUGACGCUGAGGAGCGAAGGCGUGGGGAGCGAACAGG